AGUCUGACUUUUUGCUGGAAUGUAUCUGUGCAAUUCCAGCCAAACUUAAAUCAGUAAAGGACGUGUUGCAUUUUUCUGGACCGGACUUGCAGAGACUGACCAACCUCUCCAGCCCCGAGGUCCAGCGCUUGCUGAGAACUGCCUCCUUACACCUUCGGGGAAGCCGUGUCUGUACAGCGCUGCACCUGCAUCUACAGAAGGAGAGCUUCCCUGCACAGCAUCAGCGCCUGAGCCUCGGCUGCCCUGUGCUGGACAGGCUCCUCCGUGGUGGCCUGCCCCUGGAGGGCAUCACAGAGCUGGCCGGCCACAGCUCAGCAGGGAAGACCCAGCUGGCACUGCAGCUCUGCCUGGCCGUGCAGUUUCCACGGUGGCAUGGAGGCCUGGAGGCUGGUGCCGUCUACAUCUGCACGGAGGAUGCCUUCCCCAGUAGGCGCCUGCAG
Molecule: RNA transcript, 440 nt
Organism: Carlito syrichta (Philippine tarsier)
Lineage: Eukaryota; Metazoa; Chordata; Mammalia; Primates; Tarsiidae
Exons: 3
Source: RefSeq, a predicted model, not a curated record